RNAcentral lists this non-coding RNA (45 nucleotides) under Schistosoma mattheei. Lineage: Eukaryota; Metazoa; Platyhelminthes; Trematoda; Strigeidida; Schistosomatidae. The record is from RNAcentral.
AUCCAACUGAUGAGUCCCAAAUAGAAUGAAACGCGCAUAUUGGAU